RNAcentral lists this ribosomal RNA (253 nucleotides) under uncultured bacterium. RNAcentral describes it as "partial 16S ribosomal RNA". It matches the Rfam family "Bacterial small subunit ribosomal RNA", at positions 524 to 776 of the family's 1533-position model. The record is from RNAcentral.
UACGUAGGGCGCGAGCGUUGUCCGGAUUUAUUGGGCGUAAAGAGCUCGUAGGCGGCUUGUCGCGUCGUUCGUGAAAACUCACAGCUCAACUGUGAGCUUGCGGUCGAUACGGGCAGGCUAGAGUUCGGUAGGGGAGACUGGAAUUCCUGGCGUAGCGGUGAAAUGCGCAGAUAUCAGGAGGAACACCGGUGGCGAAGGCGGGUCUCUGGGCCGAUACUGACGCUGAGGAGCGAAAGCGUGGGGAGCGAACAGG